Molecule: long non-coding RNA, 206 nt
Filed under: Linum usitatissimum (flax)
Lineage: Eukaryota; Viridiplantae; Streptophyta; Magnoliopsida; Malpighiales; Linaceae
Description: long non-coding RNA (LUSI_LNC000211)
Source: RNAcentral
UCAUCAUUAAUGGCAAAUGAACUCUGGUUCCAACCAAAAUCAAGGCAGUUUCUCCCCACUGUUUGAUCAUGUAGUUCUAUUACAGUCCUUUUAACAUAAAACAAUCAUUAGGAAGCUAAACUACUACAGGGAUCACUAAAAAUGGUCGAAACAAAGGGAUAUCAUCUGAUCUUCAUAAAAUCGAGCGCUGAAGUCAAACUCAAAAC